RNAcentral lists this ribosomal RNA (564 nucleotides) under Bambusacarus longipalpis. Its description in RNAcentral is "partial large subunit ribosomal RNA". The record is from RNAcentral. Lineage: Eukaryota; Metazoa; Arthropoda; Arachnida; Trombidiformes; Eriophyidae.
AAAUAGAACUUUGCAGAGAGAGUUAACAGGGCGUGAAACCGUUAAUUGGCAAACGAAUCGGAGCCACGAAGUCGUUUCGUCGUUUAGCCGGAUCAGGUUCAGCCGGGCUCGCGAGGGUCCGGUGUAGUCCUGGGUCUGGCCAAACCCUGUAAGCGUACACUGCAACCAGUUAGACGAUCAGCCGUGGGCACAGCGCUGGGUUGGUCAGUAGUAGCGCGGUUGUGCUUCGGCACUUCUCGUGUUGCUGGGCCAGCCUGAGUGAACUACGGCUGAAUACUGACUGGCGAAAUGAAAAUCGCUCGCAUGAGCGUUAGAGACAAGGCACCAGCCGGAUGCGGGCCUACACGGUCGACUGUCAGGUCUAAGCUUGGCGUUUUUGAAUUCAGACUUGCUUGCUACCAGUGGGGCAACCCCUGGUGCUUGUACAGCUUCUGUCUAAUCGGGCGUCGACUUGGCUUGGCAUGGUUCGGGCGUGCUUCGAUAGGGCCUGCAUGCGAGCUGGCUCGCAAUGUGAAUUGGCAGUGAGUAGGUCGGCUUUCCGAACGACCCGUCUUGAAACACGGA